Molecule: long non-coding RNA, 998 nt
Organism: Amphiprion ocellaris (clown anemonefish)
Lineage: Eukaryota; Metazoa; Chordata; Actinopteri; Pomacentridae
Source: Ensembl
CUGCUGGGGCUGUAAUAAUCCCUGAAUAAGCCUCCCGCUGUAAACAGGAGAGUUCCAGCAGCUCCAUCCCAGUCUUUGUUCAGGACAGUAUGUCACAGGGCUUCCAGCAGCUUGGGCUUUGUUGUUUCACUCUGCAUUAAAGUUUACCGUAACAGUUGAAUGAAAGGAUCUAAAAGCAUGUCAGACAAGCUCCACAGGUCUGUUUUUCUGCUUUCCUGGUGUUUCACCCGUUAAUCCUCACCCCGACCAGGUGAGGUCGAUGUCUGCCCUCCCUGAGCCUGGUUCUGCUGGAGGGUAAAGGGUUUGUUCCAGCACACGGUUUCCCUAUGUGACCUACAAACGCGUGAACAGCGCGACCCAGCUGUCGCUCUGAUGAUCAGGAAAUACCCUCACCCCUUCCCCGACGGUGACAUCAAGUAUCUGUGACUAGAAGCUGAAUGCAAGAAUGUGCAUCAGAGCAGAUUGCCAUCACUGGAUCUGUGUGUGUUUCUGUCCGAGUGCCGUUUUUGCAGAGUCUUUGCUGAAACUGAGAGAGAGACCUGUGUUGAGAUUGUUUUUUUUUUCCGUAGAAUUAAGUACAUAAGGUGACUGCAUUGAAGUGACGUGACUGCAUUGAAGGAAACAAGGCACGAUUAAAAAGAUAUAUAAAAAACAACACCAUGAGCCGUGGGAGAGCGUGAACAUCUCCCUCCAGGUUUUCCCUCCAGAGUUUGUGGAGAAAGAAUUAAAACGACAAAAACAGCACAAUCGAGGAGCAACAUUUCGUCUCUCAGUCGUUUACACCCGAGCCGCUUCGUCUCAUACAAAAAAGAUCGAUUCCCUCAAGUGAUUCAGAGCAAAAAAACAUCACAAUACACAGAAACGACACAACCAGCUACUAUGACAGAGUUUGCAUUAUUUUUUGCCGAGGGAAAUUCAUUGCUUUCGAACCGUUCAACUCUUCUCAUCGGCCGUCGUUUAAAAGGGGUUUAAUCCAUUUGAAAUCAACCAAAUCUGAG